Molecule: ribosomal RNA, 519 nt
Filed under: uncultured eukaryote
Lineage: Eukaryota
Description: SSU rRNA
Rfam family: Eukaryotic small subunit ribosomal RNA
Source: RNAcentral
AGGGCACCACCAGGAGUGGAGCCUGCGGCUUAAUUUGACUCAACACGGGAAAACUCACCCGGCCCGGACACUGGAAGGAUUGACAGAUUGAGAGCUCUUUCUUGAUUCAGUGGGUGGUGGUGCAUGGCCGUUCUUAGCUGGUGGAGUGAUUUGUCUGGUUAAUUCCGAUAACGAACGAGACUCUAGCCUACUAAAUAGAUCGUCGGCUUACAAACGCCGGCGAGACUUCUUAGAGGGACAGGCGGUGAUUCAACCGCACGAAACAGAGCAAUAACAGGUCUGUGAUGCCCUUAGAUGUCCGGGGCCGCACGCGCGCUACACUGAAGUGAUCAGCGUGCUUUUUCAACCUACUCUGUCAAGAGUGGGGAACCCAAUGAACCUUCUUCGUGAUUGGGAUAGGGGAUUGUAAUUAUUCCCCUUGAACGAGGAAUUCCCAGUAAGCGCGAGUCAUAAAGCUCGCGUUGAUUACGUCCCUGCCCCUUUGUACACACCGCCCGUCGCCUACUACCGAUUGGAAGG